UCCAAUGGGGAGGGAUAGACAUGCUAGUCGUGCGCCUUCCAGCAAUGUGGGAGGCGCGGCAGACAGCUCAGUAACACGUGGCUAACCUGCCCUUGGGACAGGGACACCCCCGGGAAACUGGGGCUAAUCCCCGAUAGGUGAAGAACUCUGGAAUGAGUCUUUGCCCGAAAAGCCGUUGGAUCAUGCUUCCAGCGGUGCCCAAGGAUGGGGCCGCGACCGAUCAGGUUGUUGGUGAGGUAAUGGCCCACCAAGCCUAUAACCGGUACGGGCCGUGAGAGCGGGAGCCCGGAGAUGGGCACUGAGACAAGGGCCCAGGCCCUACGGGGCGCAGCAGUUGCGAAAACUCCGCAAUGCGCGAAAGCGUGACGGGGCUACCCCGAGUGCCGUCCGCUGAGGACGGCUUUUCCACGGUGUAAGGAGCCGUGGGAAUAAGGAGAGGGCAAGCCUGGUGUCAGCCGCCGCGGUAAAACCAGCUCUCCGAGUGGUGGGGAUGUUUAUUGGGCUUAAAGCGUUCGUAGCCGGCUCAGCAAGUCUUCCGUUAAAUCCAGCGAUCUAAUCGUUGGACUGCGGAAGAUACUGUUGGGCUAGGGGACGGGAGAAGCCGACGGUAUUCUCGGGGUAGGGGCGAAAUCCUAUAAUCCCGGGAGGACCACCAGUGGCGAAGGCGGUCGGCUAGAACGCGCCCGACGGUGAGGGACGAAAGCUGGGGGAGCGAACCGGAUUAGAUACCCGGGUAGUCCCAGCUGUAAACUAUGCGGGCUAGGUGUUGGGGCGGCUACGAGCCGCUUCAGUGCCGCACGGAAGCAAUUAAGCCCGCCGCCUGUGAAGUACGGCCGCAAGGCUGAAACUUAAAGGAAUUGGCGGGGGAGCACCACAAGGCGUGAAGCUUGCGGUUUAAUUGGAGUCAACGCCGGG
This 915-nucleotide ribosomal RNA is filed under the name uncultured archaeon. Its description in RNAcentral is "bacterial SSU rRNA". It matches the Rfam family "Archaeal small subunit ribosomal RNA", at positions 29 to 922 of the family's 1478-position model. The record is from RNAcentral.